Molecule: ribosomal RNA, 265 nt
Filed under: uncultured bacterium
Lineage: Bacteria
Description: partial 16S ribosomal RNA
Rfam family: Bacterial small subunit ribosomal RNA
Source: RNAcentral
GUCCACGCCGUAAACGAUGGGCACUAGGUGCUUAGGGGAGCGACACUCUGGGUACCGGCGCUAACGCAUGAAGUGCCCCGCCUGGGGAGUACGGCCGCAAGGCUGAAACUCAAAGGAAUUGACGGGGGCCCGCACAAGCGGUGGAGCAUGUGGUUUAAUUCGACGCAACGCGCAGAACCUUACCUAGGCUUGACAUGCACGGGAAAGCUGCUGGAAACAGUGGCCCCUCUUCGGAGCCCGUGCACAGGUGCUGCAUGGCUGUCGU